Molecule: ribosomal RNA, 163 nt
Filed under: uncultured bacterium
Lineage: Bacteria
Description: partial 16S rRNA
Rfam family: Bacterial small subunit ribosomal RNA
Source: RNAcentral
UAGGGAAUCUUCCACAAUGGGCGAAAGCCUGAUGGAGCAACGCCGCGUGUGUGAUGAAGGUUUCGGCUCGUAAAACACUGUUGUAAGAGAAGAAUGACAUUGAGAGUAACUGUUCAAUGUGUGACGGUAUCUUACCAGAAAGGAACGGCUAAAUACGUCCCAG